Rhincodon typus (whale shark) is the source of this 434-nucleotide long non-coding RNA. RefSeq lists it as uncharacterized. NCBI's taxonomy places the organism in Eukaryota, Metazoa, Chordata, Chondrichthyes, Orectolobiformes, Rhincodontidae. The transcript is spliced from 3 exons. The record is from RefSeq and is a predicted model, not a curated record.
UCGGCGGUGUUUGCGGCCGCGUAUGUUGCUGAGGUGAAUAAACAGUCGAGAGCCGGUAUCCUAUCAGUCAGAGGAAUGUUGUUGACAGGACUGCUGUUUGGUGAAAGGGUGGCGUCGAAUUGAGGAGGGUACCGGGGAUAGACUCCUCGGGUGUUCUGGGCCUCAUCUUCCAUUAUCUUGCCCUGUUUUUCUUUAGACCUAUUGGAGUCUUUUAAGGAGCUACUUCGGCCGAGGACGGUUUUGAAGAAGAGUAAAGAUGUCUGAAGAUCAGGCUGAGGAAACUAGACUCUGUGCCAACUGCCAACGAGACAUUCCUGCAACUAACUUCACCAUUCAUGAAAUCCACUGUAGAAGAAAUAUUGAUCUUUGCAGGUAUUGUCAUGAACCCUUUCCUAAAUCUGAGAUGGAAGGACAUUUUGAAACAGAGCAUGCAC